AAGUCGUAACAAGGUUUUCGUAGGUGAACCUGCGGAAGGAUCAUUAGUGAAUUCUUGGGAGUCCCUCUUAACCGGAGAAGGCCCAAUCCACUAUUUACAAACCCUCGUGCAUCUGUCCCUUUUACAUUUAACCCUUCUGCAUUACAAAAGGUUGUUGUGUUGUUAAUUUUGAUAAUUGAAAAAAAACUUUCAGCAAUGGAUCUCUUGGCUCUC
This 213-nucleotide unclassified non-coding RNA is filed under the name Kurtzmanomyces sp. Its description in RNAcentral is "partial internal transcribed spacer region". The stretch from base 1 to 46 matches the Rfam family "Eukaryotic small subunit ribosomal RNA", at positions 1786 to 1831 of the family's 1831-position model. The record is from RNAcentral. RNAcentral also lists the same sequence under 1 other name. Lineage: Eukaryota; Fungi; Basidiomycota; Agaricostilbomycetes; Agaricostilbales; Chionosphaeraceae.